Long non-coding RNA from Tribolium castaneum (red flour beetle), 910 nucleotides. RefSeq lists it as uncharacterized. NCBI's taxonomy places the organism in Eukaryota, Metazoa, Arthropoda, Insecta, Coleoptera, Tenebrionidae. The record is from RefSeq and is a predicted model, not a curated record. The transcript has 3 exons.
GUCGGCAACAUGUGGAAAGUCAUUAUAUCACCUUUCAUCGAAGCAGUUUAUCAUCAAGCCUGGUCGUGUCAACAAAAGUAGCAUAGACCAUGGUUGCCAAUCGAUGAAAUAUAAAAUUAACAGUUCCUGGGCAAAUUACGCGCUUGGAGGGUCGUUCGAAUUCCCCAUAAGAAUGCAAAUCGACUAUUUUCACAUCAAACGAAAUAUGAAGGGGAGUUUCGUCUUUAUUAUGCACCAAUAUCUUUUCCACUUUAAUGGAAUAUUGUGUAUUUUGGGGAAAUCUUUCAAAAUUUUCUCGUGUCUGUCGGUGAUAUGUGACAUGUGGGUUUAAACAAAUUUUAAGUUCACGAUGAUGACACUUGAAAAGCCCCUAGCUGUCAACGGUGGAGCCCUUCAAUUGCCAUCUAUGCUAUAAAUAUACUUGUCUACUACUUAGGUAAAUAUUUUAUUUCCAAAAAAGCUGUUUUCGUUCCGUUGUGGAAGCCCUAAUAAAUGCUACUUCUAAUGCUGAAAUAACAAUGGCAUAAAAAAUGACAUUUGAUAAGUCUUCGGCUUACAACCCCUCAAACAAGGCUAAAGCUUGAUUUGGAAGAGCAGUAAAGAUGCAAAUAACGAAUCUGGCACUAGAUACUAUCCAAGCACUAUUCUGUUACGAAAUUAUUACCCGUCAUUUGUCAAACACUAUUUUUCGCAAAAAAAAUAUUUAUGGUGCAGUUUGUCUUUUAAAUUCCUUUUGGGACCGUGCCAAAAGUACAGUAAACAAAAUCUUAUAACGAGCUUCCGGCUAUACUCUUUUUCAACCACCGAAAAUUUUUCCAUAAGCUCAAUGUAUUUUUUUACCGGUUAUAGCAACCAAACAAAGCAGCAAAGUAUUAAUUGAUGAACAGAUUAUUGAAUUACUAAGUAAAAA